CGCCUGCUUGGGCGUCAUGGCAUUGUCGCUUUUGCUCCAUGCUUUGUCGGCAUUGAGCGCGGAAGUUGGCCCCGUGUGCCCUCUCGGGCACAGUCGGUCGAAGAGCGGGUAGUCGGUAAUCGUCGAGCACGAUGGACGUUGGUCGUCGCGAGCGAGAACUGAACGUCGUCCUCGUCGUUUUGGGAUGAGCCCUCAAGAGAGCCUGCGUGAUUGAUGAAUGAGGAGGCGCGCGAAAGAAACGCGUCAAUCAUUCGCGUGCGGCCCCAAGUCAGGCGAGACCACCCGCCGAGUUUAAGCAUAUAAAUAAGCGGAGGAGGAGAAACUUACGAGGAUUCCCCUAGUAACGGCGAGUGAACCGGGAUCAGCCCAG
RNAcentral lists this unclassified non-coding RNA (370 nucleotides) under Curcuma longa (turmeric). Its description in RNAcentral is "sequence contains 5.8S rRNA gene, ITS2, 28S rRNA gene". The stretch from base 259 to 370 matches the Rfam family "Eukaryotic large subunit ribosomal RNA", at positions 1 to 112 of the family's 3401-position model. Lineage: Eukaryota; Viridiplantae; Streptophyta; Magnoliopsida; Zingiberales; Zingiberaceae. The record is from RNAcentral.